GACGGGGCCCGCACAAGCGGUGGAGCAUGUGGUUUAAUUCGACGCUACGCGAAGAACCUUACCUGGGCUUGAACUGCUGGAGGUAGGAGCCCGAAAGGGUGACGACCCGGAGCAAUCCGGGAACCAGCAGAGGUGCUGCAUGGCUGUCGUCAGCUCGUGUCGUGAGAUGUUGGGUUAAGUCCCGCAACGAGCGCAACCCUUGCCCUUAGUUGCCAGCGGGUAAUGCCGGGCACUCUAAGGGGACUGCCCCGGAUAACGGGGAGGAAGGCGGGGAUGACGUCAAGUCAGCAUGGCCUUUAUGUCCAGGGCUACACACGUGCUACAAUGGGCGGUACAGAGGGAAGCAAAGCCGCGAGGUGGAGCUAAUCCUUAAAGUCGUCCUCAGUUCGGAUUGCAGGCUGCAACUCGCCUGCAUGAAGCUGGAAUUGCUAGUAAUCGCAGAUCAGCUACGCCGCGGUGAAUACGUUCUCGGGCCUU
RNAcentral lists this ribosomal RNA (477 nucleotides) under uncultured Aminicenantes bacterium. Its description in RNAcentral is "bacterial SSU rRNA". It matches the Rfam family "Bacterial small subunit ribosomal RNA", at positions 916 to 1381 of the family's 1533-position model. Lineage: Bacteria; Candidatus Aminicenantota. The record is from RNAcentral.